Molecule: ribosomal RNA, 500 nt
Filed under: uncultured bacterium
Lineage: Bacteria
Description: partial 16S ribosomal RNA
Rfam family: Bacterial small subunit ribosomal RNA
Source: RNAcentral
AUUGGACGCUGGCGGCAUGCCUUACACGUGCAAGUCGAACGGCAGCACGGGAGCAAUCCUGGUGGCGAGUGGCGAACGGGUGAGUAAAGUAUCGGAACGUGCCCAGUCGUGGGGGAUAACGUAGCGAAAGUUACGCUAAUACCGCAUACGAUCUAUGGAUGAAAGCGGGGGAUCGCAAGACCUCGCGCGAUUGGAGCGGCCGAUAUCAGAUUAGGUAGUUGGUGGGAUAAAGGCUCACCAAGCCGACGAUCUGUAGCUGGUCUGAGAGGACGACCAGCCACACUGGGACCGAGACACGGCCCAGACUCCUACGGGAGGCAGCAGUGGGGAAUUUUGGACAAUGGGCGAUAGCCUGAUCCAGCCAUGCCGCGUGCAGGAUGAAGGCCUUCGGGUUGUGAACUGCUUUUGUACGGAACGAAAAGGUUUGGCCUAAUAAGCUGAGCUCAUGACGGUACCGUAAGAAUAAGCACCGGCUAACUACGUGCCAGCAGCCGCCGUAA